GCUCAAUUGGUAGAGCAACUGACUUGUAAUCAGUAGGUUGGGGGUUCAAGUCCUCUCAUCA
This 61-nucleotide transfer RNA is filed under the name chicken gut metagenome. It matches the Rfam family "tRNA", at positions 10 to 67 of the family's 71-position model. Rfam says of the family: Transfer RNA (tRNA) molecules are approximately 80 nucleotides in length. Their secondary structure includes four short double-helical elements and three loops (D, anti-codon, and T loops). The record is from RNAcentral.